RNAcentral lists this long non-coding RNA (279 nucleotides) under Erythranthe guttata (spotted monkey flower). Its description in RNAcentral is "long non-coding RNA (EGUT_LNC000498)". The record is from RNAcentral. Lineage: Eukaryota; Viridiplantae; Streptophyta; Magnoliopsida; Lamiales; Phrymaceae.
UCGAGGUGGAGACAUCUUUGCUUUUACUGCUCGACGGCCUAUUGAAGGAGAACAACAGUCGAUACUUAGUGUGGGGAAAGAAAAUGUGGGAGUUAGUGGUUUGGCUGAGGUGGGGAUGUACAAUAAGAACACAUUUUCUAAUAAAAAUAAAGAACAAAUGGGUGGAGAAGGUGACUGAUUUGGGCAACACAAGAUGAGGUAAGAGACAAUUUGAUAUAUUCAUUACCAGAACAAGUGGAGAGCAACAGGGAUCUACGACUUUCCGGAGAAGCACGGCGG